UACGGAGGGUGCAAGCGUUAUUCGGAAUUACUGGGCGUAAAGCGCGUGUAGGCGGGAAGGCAAGUCUGAUGUGAAAGCCCCGGGCUUAACCUGGGAACUGCAUUCAGGACUGGGAAACUCGGGUCUGGGAGAGGGUGGUGGAAUUUCCGGUGUAGCGGUGAAAUGCGUAGAUAUCGGAAGGAACAUCAGUGGCGAAGGCGACCGCCUGGCCUAAGACUGACACUGAGGCACGAAAGCGUGGGGAGCAAACAGGAUUAGAAA
RNAcentral lists this ribosomal RNA (261 nucleotides) under uncultured bacterium. Its description in RNAcentral is "partial 16S ribosomal RNA". It matches the Rfam family "Bacterial small subunit ribosomal RNA", at positions 524 to 784 of the family's 1533-position model. The record is from RNAcentral.